Molecule: ribosomal RNA, 693 nt
Filed under: uncultured bacterium
Lineage: Bacteria
Description: bacterial SSU rRNA
Rfam family: Bacterial small subunit ribosomal RNA
Source: RNAcentral
AACGCUAGCUACAGGCUUAACACAUGCAAGUCGAGGGGCAUCAUGAUGAGUAGCAACUCAUUGAUGGCGACCGGCGCACGGGUGAGUAACGCGUAUGCNACCUGCCCAUCAGAGGGGGAUAACCCGGCGAAAGUCGGACUAAUACCCCAUAAAACAGGGGUUCCGCAUGGGACUAUUUGUUAAAGAUUCAUCGCUGAUGGAUGGGCAUGCGUUCUAUUAGGCAGUUGGCGGGGUAACGGCCCACCAAACCGACGAUAGAUAGGGGUUCUGAGAGGAAGGUCCCCCACAUUGGUACUGAGACACGGACCAAACUCCUACGGGAGGCAGCAGUGAGGAAUAUUGGUCAAUGGACGCGAGUCUGAACCAGCCAAGUCGCGUGAAGGAAGAAGGAUCUAUGGUUUGUAAACUUCUUUUAUAGGGGAAUAAAGUGCGGGACGAGUCCUGUUUUGUAUGUACCCUAUGAAUAAGCAUCGGCUAACUCCGUGCCAGCAGCCGCGGUAAUACGGAGGAUGCGAGCGUUAUCCGGAUUUAUUGGGUUUAAAGGGUGCGUAGGUGGCUGAUUAAGUCAGCGGUGAAAGUUUGUGGCUCAACCAUAAAAUUGCCGUUGAAACUGGUUAGCUUGAGUGUGUUUGAGGUAGGCGGAAUGCGUGGUGUAGCGGUGAAAUGCAUAGAUAUCACGAAGAACUCCGAUUG